GAAAGAAAAGAGAAAGAAGAGCAAUUUAUAGAAUAACCAUUGAAAAUGUAAUACCCGCCAGCAGUGUUAAUGGGAGGGAAUAUCACACAGUGCACGCAAACGGCUCUUUUUUCCACUGUUCUGCUUCUUUUCCCCAGAAAUGAAUACGUUUUCAUGUCCAGAGGCGAGUGCAGAUGGCACAGGCGAGCUUUCAUGUGGACCCACCGCAGGAAGAGAAGGGAAUGUUGGCGAGAUAUUAAAUGUAAAGAGUUUAGGUUUCACAGGAACCGGAGAGGAGGCGACACCAAAUGGAUUAAAUUCAGAUUUCACGUGGAGUUUGAGGGACUUUGAGGUGCACGUUUACCCACUUCUGAACAUUUCCUACAGAGCUGAUUCAAAGAUUUCAGAAAUUAGCCAAUGACAGCACCAACGGAGGACCAGGAAACUGGAAUCACUCUGGUUCCCGUCUGCGUGGAGCCCAGGAACCAGAGUGGAGGGCGGGAUUAUUCUCAGUUUCUGCCUUCUUUAUGCUUAACGCUCCAUAAAAGCUGUGUGAAAUCUCUCAUCUCGUCUCUCCUGGGCGGAGUUUAAUGAGAUGCAACCAACAAAUUCCAACCUGGAAGGAAAGAGAAGGGAAUCAAAGCCUGUGAACUUUUGCUUUGAUCUUUAUUUCACUGCAGUACUCUGCAGUACGGACAGAUCAAAGCCACUCGGUGAGCCUCCGCUUGCUGAUUCCUGGUAUCUUCACUUGCAGCGAAACCCAACUGGAGACCCUGAACUGGACACUGGCGUGCUCCCGAUGACCUUCAGAGCUCGGCGGGCUAUUGAAAUGACCUUUUUACGGCCCAUCGGGGUCCAGCGGCGCUCAUCUGAGGAAGUCAGGAAGUGGGAAGUGCCAAUAUGUCUGACUGACAACCCGGCUAACCGUCGACGGCACUCUGGGUUUUUCCUGUCGUGAACCGGAGCCCGCUGGAUCCAUUACCUCUGUCCUCUUCAACCUCUGAGGACCGGCGGCCGGCGUUCCACAUGGCUCCAGCGCCGGGCGGCACAUCCCUCUUUGUCUCCGCGGGGGCCUCUUAUGUGACAGCGUCACCGGAGCCGCGGUCGGGGGGCUUCCUCCAGCCAUUCCACUUGGCCGCCCGCCCGCUCCUCUUCCUCCAGGCUCAACGGCAUUGAUCCCAGCCGCGACAGCAGGUCCCAGGGAAGCGUAAGCAGAUCCACCUGGUUGGCUCCAACACUCAGCCUGGCCCCUGUAGGGACGGCUCGCGGUAAAUUAAUAGUGUGCUUGCAGCGACUAGAUAUUGUUAAUGUAUUUGCUAUUGAUGGAGUGAGAUAACAUGAGUAGCUUCAGCCUUACUUAACACUAAACAGAGAGGGGGGGGGGGUCAUUUCCAGCUUCCAGAGGAACUCUGCAUCGCUGGGACUCAUUGAUCGUAAUAAGAUUUGAACCACUGUCAAAUUCAGGGCCUUGAAUUAGGAGACUGAUUCCACGAAGAGUCGAAGGGAGGCACAAACACACCAGACAGGUUCUCCAACCUGCGCACGGACAACAUGAAGGUGCUCUGGGGGCGUCAUCCUCCCGAUCCCGCCUGAGGGCUGUCACGGCGUUACGUAAACGCUGCCUAAGCCCACGCUGAACUCUCGGAUUCAACGGGCUUUGAGUGAGCCGGAGCGCGACUCGUAAGACUGAUCUACUCUAAACUUCUGGAAGAAAAGAGGAUGAAUCACUCCUGAACAUUUCCUGCAUUUUCUGGUUCCACAGGACUAAAGGGCAGGCGCUGGAAACCCACUUUAUUAUUUAUUUACGCGCAUGAGUGUUCUUGGAUUUAUUUUUGUGACAGAUAUAAAGGAGAAUAAAUGAGAUUUACA
RNAcentral lists this long non-coding RNA (1848 nucleotides) under Takifugu rubripes (torafugu). Its description in RNAcentral is "lncRNA (ENSTRUG00000027516.1)". Lineage: Eukaryota; Metazoa; Chordata; Actinopteri; Tetraodontiformes; Tetraodontidae. The record is from RNAcentral.